This 90-nucleotide microRNA precursor is filed under the name Canis lupus familiaris (dog). RNAcentral describes it as "mir-8799 microRNA precursor family". It matches the Rfam family "mir-8799 microRNA precursor family". The record is from Rfam by way of RNAcentral. Lineage: Eukaryota; Metazoa; Chordata; Mammalia; Carnivora; Canidae.
AGGGGGAGCGCAGGAGCCUGGGCUGUGCCCCCGGCGCCCUGGGAUCCCGGCCUGUGCCGCUGGAAUCACGCUCCCGGGCCGCAGCUCCCA